This 301-nucleotide ribosomal RNA is filed under the name uncultured bacterium. RNAcentral describes it as "partial 16S ribosomal RNA". It matches the Rfam family "Bacterial small subunit ribosomal RNA", at positions 509 to 807 of the family's 1533-position model. The record is from RNAcentral.
CAGCAGCACGGUAAAACGGAGGGGGCUAGCGUUGUUCGGAAUUACUGGGCGUAAAGCGCACGUAGGCGGCUUGGUAAGUUAGAGGUGAAAGCCCGGAGCUCAACUCCGGAAUUGCCUUUAAGACUGCCGAGCUAGUAGGUGAGAGAGGUAAGUGGAAUUCCGAGUGUAGAGGUGAAAUUCGUAGAUAUUCGGAAGAACACCAGUGGCGAGGGCGGCUUACUGGACCAUUUCUGACGCUGAUGCACGAAAGCUAGGGGAGCAAACAGGAUUAGAUACCCGUGUAGUCCCCUGUCUCUUAUAC